Long non-coding RNA from Cavia porcellus (domestic guinea pig), 3379 nucleotides. RefSeq lists it as uncharacterized. NCBI's taxonomy places the organism in Eukaryota, Metazoa, Chordata, Mammalia, Rodentia, Caviidae. The record is from RefSeq and is a predicted model, not a curated record. The transcript has 5 exons.
UGGCUGCAUUCCUCGAGUAAGGAGCCACCCUCUGCCGAGCGUUUGGAGUAAUGAUCUGCCAGCUGCAGGCUGGGGACAGGCCAGGCUCAGGUUCGGGGGACAGUGCCGCAGGCCGUGAGUAAUCAGGAAGAGGCAGGGAUGAAGAGGAACAAGGGGACUUCCAGGGAGUCAUGCAAUGAAUCCAGAAGAUGCCAGAGCUGGUGGCUGAUCCUGGACUUGUCCACUGCCAGCAUUCUGGGAAGGAUGGGCACUUUCUCUUCCUGGCAUAUCUUGAUCAUCAUCUUUAAACUCCUACACUGUCCAAGGCUGCCCAGGGCCAGUUGUGGCCCCUUAGAGCUUCAAAAGGCUGGGUUUUAUAAGAGCUUGAUGGAUUGACUACAUUUAAAAAUCAAGAGGUUCACACUAGUGGCCAAAUGGCCCGGGCUCAGGCUGGUCUGGAAGCUGUGAUUCUCCUGCCUCAGCCUCGUAGAGGGCUGGGAUGAUGGGCGUACACCAGGAUGCUUGGACUCCAUGUGGUGAAGCAGUUUUGAAGUUUUCAUGGCUCGGUCGGAUUGCUGGUCUCCACGUGUUAUACCAAACGGGCUGAGAGGAUGGGAGCUGCCUGUGCAAAAGACUUAGACUCUCUCCAGGGACGUUUGGCUUUUCAGUCAUUUUGCCUAGGCUAAAGUUGUGGGCUCACAGAAACAGUGACGGAGGUAAGUGCACAGUACGGGAAAGAGGUGCAGAUAGGUAAGUAAAAUAAAGGGUGAAUUAAAGUAAAAUAAAGGUGGGGUUCUGACUCACAGUCUGCCAUGAGAUGCAGCUUGUUCCUUGCCACUUACUGUUAGAGUUUUGCCCUCAUCUGAAAACAACGGAUCCACUGUGCUCUCUGUGCAUUGAAACCUCUCUGUCAGUGUUCAUCUGUAUUUGCAGCUGCUCCCCAGUGGUACCAUCACUGCCUCAGCUCCACUUCAGAUCAUCGGGCAUUAGAUUCUCACAAGGAGCAGGCGAUCUAGAUUCCCUGAGGGCACAGCCUAAUAGGUUCAAGCUCCUAUGAGAAUCUACGCUGCUGUGAGGCGGAGACGUAAGUGCGCUUAGAAGUGGCCAUGAUUACAGAUGAAGCUUUGCUCACCUGUCUACCACUCACCUGCUGCUACGUGGCCUUGGUUCCUAACAGGCCACAGAUCAGUACACGGCUGGGACACCUGCCCUACAGGAUGGUGACCCAUGAACACUGAGGUUGAUUUUUCCAACAAGAGAGUCUGCUGUUUUUUGGAAACCACCUGAAACUCCUCCUUAGCUGGGUCAGAGUUUGGGUCAGUGGUAUAGCGGGGUUGUCCCAAGGUCUUCAAGGUACAUGAGCCCUGCUUCUCAGAGGGCAAUCCUAGAACAUUCUCCUGAAGACUUGCCUGGCUCACAGUGACAGACUCUUCUCUGAGACACACCUAGGACCCUGCAUGGUGAUGACUUGCCCUGAUGAGUCUGCCACAUGCUGGAAUUUGAGUCAGUUUCUGUUCCUGUCUAUCCUAGAUUUGCUAGGCUCCUACCUAAACACCAAGAUCCUGUUCAGUGAUGAAAAGACAAAGCUUACAUGUGACAACUUGGGAGGCACUGAGGGACUUUGGGGGAUUGAGAAAGCAAACCUCAAGGGUCCCACCCUGUCUGAUGCCUCCCACAUCUCAGAAAUGUCACAAUGAGGGAGGUGAAUUGCAGGUCACUGACCACCUAGGCUUGGGUGGGGUCAAGGCAGGCAGAGCCAGCUGUGCCAACACAAGGGAACCCGUGGUUUCUUUGCUGUGCUGGGGUGGGGGACCCCUACCCUCCACAUGUGAUGAAACUGCACCAACGUGGGCAUGCAUAUGCCCAGCCGUGACACGCCUGUGGUGCCACAUCCAUUCCGCGGUCUGGGAUUGCACUAUGGCUACGCAGGCUGUCACACUUUGCGGAAAUGGAGCACAGGGCACAGGGAUUGCUCUGCAUUAUCUCUCAGGACUGCACACUCCUGCGUCUCCAUCAUCUUCAAAUAAAAGGUUAAAAAAUGAAUCUUAACUAAAAUACGUGAACUUAGCCAAAGAACUUAUUAAGUAAUUAAUUAUAGGGAGACUUGGGGAAAAGAUAAUAUUGUUCUGGCUUUUCACACACAUGUGUCUUUCGGUCUUCUUGUGACCUGUUCUUUCUGGGGUGUAGAUUUGCAGAAACGGAAUUACUAAGUUAAAGAUGGAUAAUGUUUGAUGCUCCUCAUAUAAACUACAAAGCUGUUUCCGGGGAAUCUGCAUGUUUUACGCACCCAUCUGAGGUUCCUUUUUGUGUCCAUAGUAGGGAGUCGUCGCAUUCAAUGCAGAAAACAAAAACAGAAAUUGCUCUCUCCUUUCGUCUGUUUAAGUCCAAUACAUAUAUUUUUGGUGUUGAGGAUGGAGCCCAGCCCUCAAGGCUGCUCCGUCACCCCGUACCACUAACCUGCACCCCAGCCUGGGGCCUGCCCUUCUAUUUUCAAAUGUGACACUUUUACAUAAGCUGUGUAUGGCCGUCAUGCAUAGGCUGUGCCUUUUCGCCCACCCGUGUUCCCUUUGUGGUAUUUUUACUGCUGAUUUUUGAAUUAGCUCCCCAUCCCCUCUCGGUAAUGGCUGAUAGGUGUCCACACCCUUUUCUGAGGCUCCCUUUGUAAACAAGCUUACCAUCUGAUGACUAAUUGUCCCCUUUCCCCAGGGCGCGAUGUUCCCUUCACCACCAUCCUCCUUCUCACACAGUUUGACAUUUCUCUGGGCCUCUUUAGUCUGCUCCAUCGAUCUGUUUGCAGAUUCUUCCGCAAUAAAACACUUAAUUGUUGGAACUUUAGAAUAUACUUUAAAAUGUGGCACAAGAAGUCCCCUCGCUUCAAAAAAUGCCUCCAAUGUUUCUCACUUGCUUCUUUUUUUUCAAAGUUUUGAGUUAUUUUGUGAAUAUUUGUUUCAUUAAAAUAUUCCACUGGUAUUUGACAGAGGUUGUGUUAACGGUUUAAUUGGAAAGCGACGAACAUUUAUUCAUUUAUUCAUUUAUUUGUCCCUAUUUAUGAGGCCCUUGGCAACUUUGCAAUAUACUUGCAAUUUCUUUUUUGCCAUUUAUUAACAUAUUACUUUAUAUAUAAACUUUUGUCAGUUUUUUGAUUGCAUAAUUAUUCGUGGCUAUUUUAUACUUUAAGAGUCGAUUGUGGAGAAGUCCUUUCACUACAGGCCUUUGAAAUAAUGAUUGCUGGUGCCGGGUGAUCUUUUUGACGUAUCUCUGUUUCUCUUGGACUUAGUUAGCUCCCUGAUUUGAACAAGGUUUGGGUCAACUUUCUUGAGACUUAAAAAUCUACGCUGGUGUUGUCUGUGAAUAAUACUUUAGCUCUUUUCCUGGAACUGGCCUAGUUCAUGUCCCCAUA